CCUACGGGAGGCAGCAGUGAGGAAUAUUGGUCAAUGGACGAGAGUCUGAACCAGCCAAGUAGCGUGAAGGAUGACUGCCCUAUGGGUUGUAAACUUCUUUUAUAUGGGAAUAAAACGUUCCACGUGUGGGAUUUUGUAUGUCCCAUAUGAAUAAGGAUCGGCUAACUCCGUGCCAGCAGCCGCGGUAAUACGGAGGACCCGAGCGUUAUCCGGAUUUAUUGGGUUUAAAGGGAGCGUAGGUGGAUUGUUAAGUCAGUUGUGAAAGUUUGCGGCUCAACCGUAAAAUUGCAGUUGAAACUGGCAGUCUUGAGUACAGUAGAGGUGGGCGGAAUUCGUGGUGUAGCGGUGAAAUGCUUAGAUAUCACGAAGAACUCCGAUUGCGAAGGCAGUUCACUGGACUGCAACUGACACUGAGGCUCGAAAGUGUGGGUAUCAAACAGGAUUAGAUACCCGGGUAGUC
This 460-nucleotide ribosomal RNA is filed under the name uncultured bacterium. Its description in RNAcentral is "partial 16S ribosomal RNA". It matches the Rfam family "Bacterial small subunit ribosomal RNA", at positions 338 to 795 of the family's 1533-position model. The record is from RNAcentral.